UACGUAGGGACCGAGCGUUGUCCGGAUUCAUUGGGCGUAAAGCGCACGUAGGCGGAUCUUUAAGUCAGGGGUGAAAUCCUGGAGCUCAACUCCAGAACUGCCUUUGAUACUGGGGAUCUCGAGUCCGGGAGAGGUGAGUGGAACUCCGAGUGUAGAGGUGAAAUUCGUAGAUAUUCGGAAGAACACCAGUGGCGAAGGCGGCUCACUGGCCCGGUACUGACGCUGAGGUGCGAAAGCGUGGGGAGCAAACAGG
RNAcentral lists this ribosomal RNA (253 nucleotides) under uncultured bacterium. RNAcentral's name for it is "partial 16S ribosomal RNA". It matches the Rfam family "Bacterial small subunit ribosomal RNA", at positions 524 to 776 of the family's 1533-position model. The record is from RNAcentral.